Non-coding RNA from Podiceps cristatus (great crested grebe), 47 nucleotides. The record is from Rfam. Lineage: Eukaryota; Metazoa; Chordata; Aves; Podicipediformes; Podicipedidae.
AAAGAGGCCUUUCUAAAGGCCACAGAAAAUUCAGAGGGGAUAAACCG